RNAcentral lists this ribosomal RNA (209 nucleotides) under uncultured bacterium. RNAcentral describes it as "partial 16S ribosomal RNA". It matches the Rfam family "Bacterial small subunit ribosomal RNA", at positions 524 to 732 of the family's 1533-position model. The record is from RNAcentral.
UACGUAGGGUGCGAGCGUUGUCCGGAAUUAUUGGGCGUAAAGGGCGCGUAGGUGGCGCGAGGAGUCAACGGUGAAAGCUCGGCGCUCAACGCCGAGUCGGCCGUCGAUACUCUCGUGCUUGAGCACUGUAGAGGCAGAUGGAAUUCCGGGUGUAGCGGUGGAAUGCGUAGAGAUCCGGAAGAACACCGGUGGCGAAGGCGGUCUGCUGG